GCCAACCCAAAAGAUCUAGAAGAUAAGCAACCCAAAGAUCCCAAUCAAUUACUCGUUUGGGGUGGACAUCAAGAUAAACAACCCUUAUUGGUCGUUUCGGGUGGCCAUGAAGAUAAGCAACCCAAGGAUCCCAAUCAAUUACUCGUUUGGGGUAACCGUGAAGCCAACUCAAAAGAUCUAGAAGAUAAGCAACCCAAAGAUCCCAAUCAAUUAUUCGUUUGGGGUGGCCAUCAAGAUAAGCAGUAUAAGGAUCCCAAUCAAUUAUUUGUUUCAGGUGUCCAUGAAGCCAACUCAAAAGAUCUAGAAGAUAAGCAACCCAAAGAUCUCAAUCAAUUACUCGUUUGGGGUGGCCAUCAAGAUAAGCAGUCCAAGGAUCCCAAUCAAUUAUUUGCUUCAGGUGUCCAUGAAGCCAACUCAAAAGAUCUAGAAGAUAAGCAACCCAAAGAUCCCAAUCAAUUACUCGUUUGGGGUGGCCAUCAAGAUAAGCAGUCCAAGGAUCUCAAUCAAUUAUUUGCUUCGGAUGUCCAU
Molecule: long non-coding RNA, 528 nt
Filed under: Medicago truncatula (barrel medic)
Lineage: Eukaryota; Viridiplantae; Streptophyta; Magnoliopsida; Fabales; Fabaceae
Description: long non-coding RNA (MTRU_LNC001967)
Source: RNAcentral